AGACGUCUACAUUAGAUACCCGCGUAGUCCCAGCCGUAAACCAUGCGCGUUAGGUGUAUCGGUGACCACGAGUCACCGAGGUGCCGAAGGGAAACCGUGAAACGUGCCGCCUGGGAAGUACGGUCGCAAGGCUGAAACUUAAAGGAAUUGGCGGGGGAGCACCACAACGGGCGAAGCCUGCGGUUUAAUUGGACUCAACGCCGGGAAGCUCACCGGAUAAGACAGCGGAAUGAUUGCCGGGCUGAAGACUCUGCAUGACUAGCUG
RNAcentral lists this ribosomal RNA (265 nucleotides) under uncultured archaeon. Its description in RNAcentral is "partial 16S ribosomal RNA". It matches the Rfam family "Archaeal small subunit ribosomal RNA", at positions 717 to 982 of the family's 1478-position model. The record is from RNAcentral.